RNAcentral lists this ribosomal RNA (253 nucleotides) under uncultured bacterium. RNAcentral describes it as "partial 16S ribosomal RNA". It matches the Rfam family "Bacterial small subunit ribosomal RNA", at positions 524 to 776 of the family's 1533-position model. The record is from RNAcentral.
UACGAAGGGGGCUAGCGUUGCUCGGAUUUACUGGGCGUAAAGGGCGCGUAGGCGGACAUUUAAGUCAGGGGUGAAAUCCCGGGGCUCAACCUCGGAACUGCCUUUGAUACUGGGGGUCUUGAGUGUGAGAGAGGUAUGUGGAACUCCGAGUGUAGAGGUGAAAUUCGUAGAUAUUCGGAAGAACACCAGUGGCGAAGGCGACAUACUGGCUCAUUACUGACGCUGAGGCGCGAAAGCGUGGGGAGCAAACAGG